This 1349-nucleotide ribosomal RNA is filed under the name Janthinobacterium sp. 344. Its description in RNAcentral is "bacterial LSU rRNA". It matches the Rfam family "Bacterial large subunit ribosomal RNA", at positions 1585 to 2925 of the family's 2925-position model. Lineage: Bacteria; Pseudomonadati; Pseudomonadota; Betaproteobacteria; Burkholderiales; Oxalobacteraceae. The record is from RNAcentral.
ACGAAGCAAUCGGAAGUGGUUCCAAGAAAAGCCUCUAAGCUUCAGUCAUACGAGACCGUACCGCAAACCGACACAGGUGGGCGAGAUGAGUAUUCUAAGGCGCUUGAGAGAACUCGGGAGAAGGAACUCGGCAAAUUGGUACCGUAACUUCGGGAAAAGGUACGCCCCGGUAGCUUGAUUGGUUUACUCCAUGAGGGUGAAAGGGUUGCAAUAAACUGGUGGCUGCGACUGUUUAAUAAAAACACAGCACUCUGCAAACACGAAAGUGGACGUAUAGGGUGUGACGCCUGCCCGGUGCUGGAAGAUUAAAUGAUGGGGUGCAAGCUCUUGAUUGAAGUCCCAGUAAACGGCGGCCGUAACUAUAACGGUCCUAAGGUAGCGAAAUUCCUUGUCGGGUAAGUUCCGACCUGCACGAAUGGCGUAACGAUGGCCACACUGUCUCCUCCCGAGACUCAGCGAAGUUGAAAUGUUUGUGAUGAUGCAAUCUACCCGCGGCUAGACGGAAAGACCCCAUGAACCUUUACUGUAGCUUUGCAUUGGACUUUGAACCAAUCUGUGUAGGAUAGGUGGGAGGCUUUGAAGCGGGGACGCUAGUUCUCGUGGAGCCAACCUUGAAAUACCACCCUGGUUUGUUUGAGGUUCUAACCUUGGUCCGUUAUCCGGAUCGGGGACAGUGCAUGGUAGGCAGUUUGACUGGGGCGGUCUCCUCCUAAAGUGUAACGGAGGAGUUCGAAGGUACGCUAGAUACGGUCGGACAUCGUGUUGAUAGUGCAAUGGCAUAAGCGUGCUUAACUGCGAGACUGACAAGUCGAGCAGGUACGAAAGUAGGACAUAGUGAUCCGGUGGUUCUGUAUGGAAGGGCCAUCGCUCAACGGAUAAAAGGUACUCUGGGGAUAACAGGCUGAUUCCUCCCAAGAGUUCAUAUCGACGGGGGAGUUUGGCACCUCGAUGUCGGCUCAUCACAUCCUGGGGCUGUAGCCGGUCCCAAGGGUAUGGCUGUUCGCCAUUUAAAGUGGUACGUGAGCUGGGUUUAAAACGUCGUGAGACAGUUUGGUCCCUAUCUGCCGUGGGCGUUGGAAAUUUGAAGGGGGCUGCUCCUAGUACGAGAGGACCGGAGUGGACGAACCUCUGGUGUACCGGUUGUCACGCCAGUGGCAUUGCCGGGUAGCUAAGUUCGGAAGAGAUAACCGCUGAAAGCAUCUAAGCGGGAAACUUGCCUUGAGAUGAGAUUUCCCAGAGCCUUGAGCUCUUUGAAGGGUCGUUCGAGACCAGGACGUUGAUAGGCUGGGUGUGGAAGUGCAGUAAUGCAUUAAGCUAACCAGUACUAAUUGCCCGUACGGCUUGUCCCU